AAAAACGACAGAGGUCCGAAAAUUCAUAAGAACUGAAAAAUGGUCAACUGGAUCCCAUUAAGUAUUGUCAGUUUGUCACUACUGAAGUUCUGUCCCUUGGAAGUUUCGACGAUUAUAGCCCUCGGUUUUUUUCUUCAGUUACGGUUGUAUCAGUGAUGCACGGAUUAAGGAUGCUGAUAGUGGGCGUAGAAGAAAGAGAGAGAAAAGAGAGACAUCGGUGAAGAGAGUGGUUGGGACAAAAGUUUCGCUGCAGAGAUAGAGAGAGAGAUUGGUACAAAGCUUUCGCAUUAUUGGUGGUUUGAGGGGUUUUUGUAUCAUGAUGCUGUUACCAUUUAAUUUGUUCGGGUAGUAAACUCAGAUUAGAUUAAAUUGAUCUGCCUAUAUGAGCAUCGUUAUCAUAGCAUUGUAGUAUGGCUCCUAGAUUUCUGGUAAUAAGUGGAAGAAGGAUAAACAUGCAAGUGGAAGAAGGAAAACUGAGUCCAGGACCUCAGGAUGUUGCCAAGUUCAUGCUUCAUGUAGGGGAGUGGUCUGAUUUUUAUCUAUUAUAAUCGAAUAAAUUUUUAUAAGUCGCCUUUUGAGCUAGAGCUGUUUGCUUGAUAACUGUUAUUUCAUUUUCCUUAAACCCUUUUUCAGUAGUUAAAUAGUUUUGAAGUAUGCACAACCCAAGUGAAUUAGGAUGGUGUUAUAGUCUGGCAUUAUCAUGUAAGGAAAAGGCCAACCACUUAAUGAGCAUAUACAUUUGAUUAUUACGAAAAUAUACGCUCCUGAUUUUUUUUUUAUACCAGAUGUCUUCCAUUUCCUUCUAUCUUCUUUGGUAGCGUGACUCUGGCUCAAGUUUUUGACUAUGUGUGUGUGGCACGUGUAUGUCUUGGAAACCAUCCGGCCACAAGCGUGAGCCUGUCCCAAAUCGAGACAGAAGCCUAUUAGUAAGUGGUCGUGUGAUGUAUCAUAAGUGAAUAGGAAACAGAGAGAAGUAAGACAUUAAUUUGAGGUGGAGUCUUUUCCCUGCAAAAUGGCUGUGGAUUUGUGGAGUUGGUGGUGGCACCGGUCCCAAGCCAAGGUGGCUGCGGGUUGGUGCAGUGGUGGCAUUGCAAAUGGGCCGUCAUUUUAUGCUUUGUUGAAGUUGGAUCUGCAUUUUGUGUGUCACAAUUUCUGGGUUCAAUGAGUUGAGAAAAUUAGGGGUUUUAGGAAUUUUGUGUUUCGUUGGGUUUAUACAUAUAGUGGUUAAAAGAAGCAUGCUUUGAUUCUUGCUCUUAUACUGGAAUUGACUACCAUAAAAAUGGCCUGUUCUGGGCAAAGUAGGGCUUUAUUCAUUCUCCUUUCGAUACAUUGCGAUUUGCAACUUCACUUUUCCUUCUUUUUAGUUUUUUAACGGGAUUUAGAUUUGUCUCCCAAAUGCAUUAGUUUGCUACUGUGGAAGAGUUUUCAUUAAGUAAGGAAAUGUCAGUGCUUAGAGAGAUAUAUUUCAAUGCCUGCAUCCAUGUAUUAAAGUAGUCCUAGCAACCAUGUGGCAGUUGGACAGUUCAUAAACAAAAAGUACAACCAUAAGGCUUCAGGAACUGGAGUGCUUCCAGAAAAGUAGAUAGUUCUUAUGCUUUGCAGACAUUUGUAUGACAUGAACAAACAGAAAACCUAGAUCAUUCAUGUAGUUACGGAAAGGAAUCAUAAAAUAAAUAAAGCAUGGUGAAGAUUAAAAAUCAAAUACUUCAAGGAAUUCACAAAGUCCAAACGGAGAACACAAAUUUGAUAUAAUUAGUUAACUAAAAGUUAACUAUUUUGAUGAGUUAUAUUUUUUUUUCUUUGCCGUUCUUUUUUGUAUUUUUUAUUUUCUUUUUUUUUAUCUUUUUAGUACGAAAUCUGAAGCAAUGACAAUUGAAGAAUCAUUAAGAUAUUAAUUUUAGGUGUGUGUGGAUUAAUAUUGUUUACUUGCUGUAUUGUUUUGUCUGAAAUUCUAUAGAUGCACUAUAAUUAGGUCUGCAUCAAUUUGGUUUUCAUAUCGAUUAGUGAUUAAUUAUAUAUGAAGAAAUUGUGUUAGUUUGUUGGUCGAUUGAAUCGCGUUGGUGAAUACUAGAGAUGAUAUAGGAGAUAAUGAAUGUUGUAGGAUGGUAAAGGUGCUAAGUUUGUGAAGGAAGGUGGUAUCUUUGGCAAGCCCUGUUCUGGUUUUACUGAUAAAGGUAAUAUGCAUUUCAUUUGACAUCUUGGGACUCAUUUGCAGGGUCCAUGAGGAUCCAAUUACGAGUUUUUGCUUCACGUAUGGUUAUCAGCAUAGCCUAGAAGAGGUAAGUGAUUCUCAUUCUGAGUAAAUAAGGCGGCAUUACGGGUGCUAAGCCAACAUUUUGGGAGGGAUUUUUGUUGUUAUACAUUGAAGUGAGUGGUCAGGCACUGGAAAGGAGUUGGAAAGAGGGAGUUUGUGGCUGUCAAAGAAGUUAAAUGGGAUAUUGGGAAUCUGCAGAUGAGAUAAUGUUCAGCUUUUGGUGGGGUAGUAGUUGGUUGUCAUAGUGAUCAUUGUAGGAAGGGAAAGGUGGAGAGUUGCUGUAUCACUCUACUUUGAUGAUAAGCUCUAGCUAGCUAAAAAGAAAUAUAGAGGUCCAACUUCUCUUACAAACAUACAUUGUUUGUGUUUAUGCUAGGCUGGUUUAAAUAUGGUUGUCCUUCUGUUGGUCUUUCAUAAACUUUCACUACAUUCAUUCUUACAUAUCAAUCUGAGAUUUCAAAUCAGCAAUUUGCAUAUGCAUUCAAUCUUUCACUCUACUUUCAUCUUAAUAUGAUUAUUCUAAGUUCCAAAUGACAGAGAUGCAGCAGACAUGACAGAACCAACUGAAGACACGUAAGAGGAGUUAAUGUAAAAUAGUUGGUUCUAACUACAAACAUAGAACAUUUUUCCUAAAUCUAACCAUUUUUUGCAAUAUGUACAUAAAAACCUCCUUUGGUUAGCAUAUCUAAUUUUUUGAAAUCUGUGCAUAUCCGGUUAGCAUACCAAAUUCUGGAAUCUGUAAAAGAUAAUUUUGUUACUUAUAUAAUAUUAUGAACGUUUGUAAUUGCUGUAGUUUGAAAUAUAACGUUCCCGCAUCGCGCACGGGUCAAUGUCUAGUGUUUACUAUUGUUUUGUAUGAUGAUUUGAUUAUAUACCACUUGGUUAUAGAUAAACUUGUUUUCUUCCUACCUUCUGUUUUUGGCUUCUGCACUGAAAAUUCUGCAGUGUUUUUGUCUCCACUGGUUUAGUAAUAGCUUGGUUCUGGUACAUAUGGUAUCUUUUUCUUUGUUUUCAUCCCCUUAUUAGAAAUGCAUGUUACCCCAGCCAUUUAUUGUCUCUGCAAAUGACACAUUUAUUCAUUUGAAGCCCUACACACACUGUGGUCCUCUUAAUCUGUAUAUCUGCUCAAUAUUUCAAGACUCCAAUAUGGUUUCUCUCAGGAAUCAUAAGUAAGCUGGGCCACUGGAAAAGCCUGACCAAUGUUUGUCAUGUUAUUAUAAUAGAUCUACUGCAUGUUAAAUGCUUAUUUUGAAUUGUGAUGCCAAGUCCAAAUGGAGGGAGAAAUCUGCUGUCUUUCUUUGUGCUAGAAAUCUCAAGAGUUUGCUAAUGUAUGCUCUCAUUUUCAUUGUUGCAAGAUACGACACUUGAUAGACAAAGAUUUAGCUUUGUAAUUUCUGGGUUUUGUUGGCAAAUGUAGUUUGUCACAUAUUCUGGAAAUCUCCAAAACAAAAGUGUCUAUGUCUUCUCAGAUUUAAUUGGUCGUGUAAUUUAAUGCAGGGGGACCAACCAAUUCUUCCACACCGUUACCAUGGGCAGCUAGGUUAAAAAUUGCUCAGGGGAGCGCAAGAGGUUUGACGUACAUACACGAACACAGCCCUAGAAAGUAUGUUCCCGGCAACAUUAAAUCGACAAAAAUCCUUCUCAAUGAGGACCUCCAGCCUUACGUAUCUGGUUUCGGAUUGGCACGUCUUAUCUUGGGGUCCUCAAAGUUUCUUCUUCAGCUUCCAGGAAAAAGAGCUCCAGCCAAACCAACGCAACCUCUUGUUUUACUGUUUCAACUCACUCAACCAUUUACUUGGCACCUGAGGCUCGAAUUUCUGGCAGCAAGUUUACUCAGAAAUGUGAUGUGUACUGUUUUGGGAUAGUGCUCAUGGAGAUUUUAAGCGGUAAGCUACCAGAUGAGGGGCCCGAAAAUGGUGGGAAGGGACUAGAGAGUCUGGUGAGGAAGACAUUUCGAGAAGAACCCUGAACUUCUGCAAGAGGUUUAUGCAAAGAAGCAAGUUGUUGAUGCCUUUCACAUUGCUCGUAAUUGCACUGAACUCGACCCAGAACUGCGUCCUAGGAUGAAAACAGUUUUGGACAGUCUUGAUCGCAUCAAAUUGCAGCUUUAGGAAAAAGAAAUGAAAAAUUUAUCAAGCUGACUGCUCCAUCUAGAAUUGGUUAUGGACUUAUGGUGAUGGUCUUGGAUGGGUGCUUCACUGUAUCUUUACGUUGACUGAACUGUGGUAGUAAGGAAAUCCAUUACCUUAAUGGGUUGGAUGUAUAAUAUGUUGACUGCUUCAUUGUACCUUUUGAGGAUCUGUUCAACAAAUCAACGGUGAUUUGGAUGCA
Long non-coding RNA from Rosa chinensis, 4585 nucleotides. RefSeq lists it as uncharacterized. Lineage: Eukaryota; Viridiplantae; Streptophyta; Magnoliopsida; Rosales; Rosaceae. The record is from RefSeq and is a predicted model, not a curated record. The transcript is spliced from 2 exons.